This 116-nucleotide ribosomal RNA is filed under the name Escherichia coli. The record is from RNAcentral. RNAcentral also lists the same sequence under 9 other names. Lineage: Bacteria; Pseudomonadati; Pseudomonadota; Gammaproteobacteria; Enterobacterales; Enterobacteriaceae.
CCUGGCGGCAGUAGCGCGGUGGUCCCACCUGACCCCAUGCCGAACUCAGAAGUGAAACGCCGUAGCGCCGAUGGUAGUGUGGGGUUUCCCCAUGCGAGAGUAGGGAACUGCCAGGC